This 212-nucleotide transfer-messenger RNA is filed under the name Gammaproteobacteria bacterium. RNAcentral's name for it is "partial transfer-messenger RNA". It matches the Rfam family "transfer-messenger RNA", at positions 1 to 228 of the family's 374-position model. From Rfam's summary of the family: Bacterial tmRNA, also known as 10Sa RNA or SsrA, is named for its dual tRNA and mRNA-like properties. Its role is to liberate the mRNA from a stalled ribosome. To accomplish this part of the tmRNA is used as a reading frame that ends in a translation stop signal. The record is from RNAcentral. Lineage: Bacteria; Pseudomonadati; Pseudomonadota; Gammaproteobacteria.
GGGGGCGAUUCGGAUUCGACGACGGUAUCAAACCCUUAGGUGCAUGCCGUGAUGGCAGCCAAUCACGUAAAUCCAAAGCUGUAUUUUAUUAGUUGCCAACGACGACAACUACGCUCUGGCGGCAUAAGCCCGCUAGCAGUCCUUAGCAAGGUGCCAGUACCGCGCUGAAGACUGUCAUACAGAACUGGAUCGCAACAAAGCACGCCUUGGGC